GACGAACGCUAGCGGCGUGCUUAACACAUGCAAGUCGAACGGAAAGGCCCUGCUUUUGUUGGGUGCUCGAGUGGCGAACGGGUGAGUAACACGUGAGUAACCUGCCCUUGACUUUGGGAUAACUUCAGGAAACUGGGGCUAAUACCGGAUAGGAGCUCCUGCUGCAUUGUGGGGGUUGGAAAGUUUCGGCGGUUGGGGAUGGACUCGCGGCUUAUCAGCUUGUUGGUGGGGUAGUGGCUUACCAAGGCUUUGACGGGUAGCCGGCCUGAGAGGGUGACCGGCCACAUUGGGACUGAGAUACGGCCCAGACUCCUACGGGAGGCAGCAGGGGGGAAUAUUGCACAAUGGGCGGAAGCCUGAUGCAGCAACGCCGCGUGCGGGAUGACGGCCUUCGGAUUGUAAACCGCUUUCGCCUGUGACGAAGCGUAGGUGACGGUAAUGGGUAAAGAAACACCGGCUAACUAUGUG
Molecule: ribosomal RNA, 468 nt
Filed under: uncultured bacterium
Lineage: Bacteria
Description: partial 16S ribosomal RNA
Rfam family: Bacterial small subunit ribosomal RNA
Source: RNAcentral